Contarinia nasturtii (swede midge) is the source of this 448-nucleotide long non-coding RNA. RefSeq lists it as uncharacterized. The transcript is spliced from 4 exons. Lineage: Eukaryota; Metazoa; Arthropoda; Insecta; Diptera; Cecidomyiidae. The record is from RefSeq and is a predicted model, not a curated record.
AGAUGUUGUGGUAUGAAAACCACCGACUAUUCAAGUUUUUUCCAAAAGCUUAGUAGGCAUCCACCGAACUAUCCACAAUCUGAUGGACUUUUCUCAUUCAUAAACUCGAUAAUCGAGAGAGUGAAUAAAUUGAUUAAACUCUUUGAAGAUGCUCACAAUGAAGAACAAUACGUUUGGCUUGUUAUUGAUAUAGACCAGCUUGAAAAAAUUAGAAAAUUGGAGACGAGUUGAGGGGAUUCUACAAAAAUCCAGAUAUUUCGAAAAAAGCAACAGAAUUUAUUCAGAGAAUUUGCAUCAACAUUCACACAACAAUAUGCAAGCUGAAAGGCUCACAUGGUCCACAUCAGCCCAUUGCUUUCCGGAAUAAUAAUCAGUAAUGCAAAAAAUAUAACUCAGAUAAUUCCGAUAAACUGAUUUUUGAACGAUUUAUUCUUUUUUCCAUAUCUAA